RNAcentral lists this transfer RNA (75 nucleotides) under Candidatus Marinamargulisbacteria bacterium SCGC AG-410-N11. Its description in RNAcentral is "tRNA-Asn". It matches the Rfam family "tRNA". From Rfam's summary of the family: Transfer RNA (tRNA) molecules are approximately 80 nucleotides in length. Their secondary structure includes four short double-helical elements and three loops (D, anti-codon, and T loops). The record is from RNAcentral. Lineage: Bacteria; Bacillati; Candidatus Margulisiibacteriota; Candidatus Marinamargulisbacteria.
UCCCCUGUAGCUCAGUGGCAGAGCAAGCGGCUGUUAACCGCUAGGCCGUUGGUUCGAAUCCGACCGGGGGAGCCA